RNAcentral lists this ribosomal RNA (443 nucleotides) under uncultured bacterium. RNAcentral's name for it is "partial 16S ribosomal RNA". It matches the Rfam family "Bacterial small subunit ribosomal RNA", at positions 338 to 795 of the family's 1533-position model. The record is from RNAcentral.
CCUACGGGAGGCAGCAGUGGGGAAUAUUGGGCAAUGGGCGCAAGCCUGACCCAGCAACGCCGCGUGAAGGAAGAAGGCUUUCGGGUUGUAAACUUCUUUUCUGAGGGACGAAGAAAGUGACGGUACCUCAGGAAUAAGCCACGGCUAACUACGUGCCAGCAGCCGCGGUAAUACGUAGGUGGCAGGCGUUAUCCGGAUUUAUUGGGUGUAAAGGGCGUGUAGGCGGGAAAGCAAGUCAGAUGUGAAAUCUCAGGGCUCAACCCUGAGCCUGCAUUUGAAACUGUUUUUAUUGAGUGCUGGAGAGGCAGACGGAAUUCCUAGUGUAGCGGUGAAAUGCGUAGAUAUUAGGAGGAACACCAGUGGCGAAGGCGGUCUGCUGGACAGCAACUGACGCUGAGGCGCGAAAGCGUGGGGAGCAAACAGGAUUAGAUACCCUUGUAGUC